Molecule: ribosomal RNA, 882 nt
Filed under: Klebsiella pneumoniae
Lineage: Bacteria; Pseudomonadati; Pseudomonadota; Gammaproteobacteria; Enterobacterales; Enterobacteriaceae
Description: bacterial SSU rRNA
Rfam family: Bacterial small subunit ribosomal RNA
Source: RNAcentral
AGCGGUAGCACAGAGAGCUUGCUCUCGGGUGACGAGCGGCGGACGGGUGAGUAAUGUCUGGGAAACUGCCUGAUGGAGGGGGAUAACUACUGGAAACGGUAGCUAAUACCGCAUAACGUCGCAAGACCAAAGUGGGGGACCUUCGGGCCUCAUGCCAUCAGAUGUGCCCAGAUGGGAUUAGCUAGUAGGUGGGGUAACGGCUCACCUAGGCGACGAUCCCUAGCUGGUCUGAGAGGAUGACCAGCCACACUGGAACUGAGACACGGUCCAGACUCCUACGGGAGGCAGCAGUGGGGAAUAUUGCACAAUGGGCGCAAGCCUGAUGCAGCCAUGCCGCGUGUGUGAAGAAGGCCUUCGGGUUGUAAAGCACUUUCAGCGGGGAGGAAGGCGUUAAGGUUAAUAACCUUGUCGAUUGACGUUACCCGCAGAAGAAGCACCGGCUAACUCCGUGCCAGCAGCCGCGGUAAUACGGAGGGUGCAAGCGUUAAUCGGAAUUACUGGGCGUAAAGCGCACGCAGGCGGUCUGUCAAGUCGGAUGUGAAAUCCCCGGGCUCAACCUGGGAACUGCAUUCGAAACUGGCAGGCUAGAGUCUUGUAGAGGGGGGUAGAAUUCCAGGUGUAGCGGUGAAAUGCGUAGAGAUCUGGAGGAAUACCGGUGGCGAAGGCGGCCCCCUGGACAAAGACUGACGCUCAUGUGCGAAAGCGUGGGGAGCAAACAGGAUUAGAUACCCUGGUAGUCCACGCCGUAAACGAUGUCGAUUUGGAGGUUGUGCCCUUGAGGCGUGGCUUCCGGAGCUAACGCGUUAAAUCGACCGCCUGGGGAGUACGGCCGCAAGGUUAAAACUCAAAUGAAUUGACGGGGGCCCGCACAAGCGGUGGAGC